Molecule: long non-coding RNA, 189 nt
Organism: Oxyura jamaicensis (ruddy duck)
Lineage: Eukaryota; Metazoa; Chordata; Aves; Anseriformes; Anatidae
Exons: 3
Source: RefSeq, a predicted model, not a curated record
GUCGGGCUACUGCUUAAAACAGCUGAGAAACAAGUUCACCAUUCACUGUUAAGCUGCGUGUACCAAGAAAGUAGCCUAGAUUCUAGUUGAUCUACUAUUCAAGUUGAGCUUUUUCCACUAAGUGUUCUGCUGUUUCAAUUUUUAAAAAAAAAACAGAAAUUUUAUUUAUUUAUUUUUUUACUAGAUAUA